Clupea harengus (Atlantic herring) is the source of this 484-nucleotide long non-coding RNA. Lineage: Eukaryota; Metazoa; Chordata; Actinopteri; Clupeiformes; Clupeidae. The record is from Ensembl.
UGUGUAGGGUGAGGCUAUCCGUCUGAAGGAGCAUCUCCAGCAGGCGGAGGAGAAACUUCAGUGCUCCCAGCAGGAAGCUGUGCUCCUGGGGGCAGACCUGUGCACCGCGUCCAGCAGAUGUGAGCAGACAGCGGGGGAGCUCCAGAGGGUCCGGCAGGAGGCCGAGGCCCUGCGCUCCAGCCUAUCAGAGGCCCAGGCCCAGGGCCAGAGCGCCCAGUCACAGCUGGAGAGGAUGAGACACGUCGCCUAUCAGAAGGAGGGCGGAGACUCCUGUCCCGUGUCACAGGUGGAGGCGGAGCUCCAUAAGGAGGUGGAUGAGCUGAAGGUCCGUCUGCAGAUGGCCGCAGAGCACUACAAGGAGAAGUACAGAGAGUGUCAGAAGCUCCGCAAGCAGGUCAAGCAGCUCAGCCAGCAGCCCAGGAUACCCCCUCCUGAGAGUCCCGAUCAGGAUGCAAAGAGAAUUGAGGCUGAGAUGACGACGGAG